This 502-nucleotide ribosomal RNA is filed under the name uncultured bacterium. RNAcentral describes it as "bacterial SSU rRNA". It matches the Rfam family "Bacterial small subunit ribosomal RNA", at positions 28 to 523 of the family's 1533-position model. The record is from RNAcentral.
GAUGAACGCUAGCGGGAGGCUUAACACAUGCAAGUCGAGGGGCAGCAUAGGGUAGCAAUACUCUGAUGGCGACCGGCAAACGGGUGAGUAACGCGUAUGCAACCUACCCUGUACAGGGGGAUAACCCGGAGAAAUUCGGACUAACACCGCAUAAUACUGAAUUACUGCAUGGUUUUUCAGUUAAAUAUUUAUAGCUUACAGAUGGGCAUGCGUAUGAUUAGAUAGUUGGUAGGGUAACGGCCUACCAAGUCAACGAUCAUUAGGGGUUCUGAGAGGAAGGUCCCCCACACUGGUACUGAGACACGGACCAGACUCCUACGGGAGGCAGCAGUGAGGAAUAUUGGUCAAUGGGCGAGAGCCUGAACCAGCCAAGUCGCGUGAAGGAAGAAGGUUCUAUGGAUUGUAAACUUCUUUUAUAGUAGAAUAAAGUGAUCCACGUGUGGAUUUUUGUAUGUAUACUAUGAAUAAGGAUCGGCUAACUCCGUGCCAGCAGCCGCGGUAA